UGCCUUUGGUAGAGGAAAGUGCUAAAUAAUAAUCAAUUGUUAAAUUAUUGUGCAUUUCACUACUGGAACUGUAAUCAGAAAAGAUAGACAUGCUUAGCCAAUCUCUAUUUGAUUGAAUUGAAAGAUGUUUGUUAAGGCAUGGAUGCAAGCUAUAGAUUCUGAUACGGUCAAUAAAAGAGAAUUGCUUAACAAUUUUGCAAAAUGUAUUGGCGAGUAAGAACCGCAUUUGGUACUUUCCGGGCAACCGCCAGACGA
Molecule: unclassified non-coding RNA, 255 nt
Filed under: Escherichia coli
Lineage: Bacteria; Pseudomonadati; Pseudomonadota; Gammaproteobacteria; Enterobacterales; Enterobacteriaceae
Description: ECRV308_01211 small RNA
Source: RNAcentral